AAAAAUCCGGCGCUCGGUACGUCGCUCGCUCGCUCGCUGCUCUUUCGCUCGCUCCGUCUCUGCUCCGGCGCAGCUUUCCUUCGCCCAUUAAUCUGCUGGGGCGGCCGAGAUCUGGGGAUCCCAUUUUCACUUCAUUCAGGUGGUAGACAGUGGUGAAAUUUCGCAUAGUGCUUGUGAUGGUGGUCCAGAAGAACUCCCAGUAGUUCUGGCCAGGCACUUUUGGACGAACGUGUAGGGAUGAGCUCAACUAUAGUUCCUGACCAGCAUCAUCAGUCCAGCAGCCGAUCCAGCCUCGGUUCUGAUGGGGCUGCAUCUCCUUAUGCAGGAUGUGAAGAUAGCCAUUUUCAUAGAGCAAAAGAGGAAUUGCAAUCAAUGGUCAAAAGCCUUUUGAGAGAAAUUGAUUUAGGUCAUGGUGAGUUUAAGGAAAUAGCGAGGUGUUCCACUCAUACUGUAUUGGUUGCUUGUGGCCUUGAGCACAGGAGGAGCGAGGUCUACACAAUCCCUCUGCCAUCCUUUUAUUCCCACAUAGACAAAAUGGCAACUGGACAGACAAGUCUGAUGAGUGGAGUUUGCUCAACAUGUUUUGAUGUUUUCGUCAGAGAUGUAACCCAAAACAUAAUGUACAUAAGACUACCACUGCGUUGGUUAAGUUUAGGUCUUUACGAAUUGAUAAACAUGGGCUGCCAUUUUUUGCACGUCCAUGGUUAAUUUUGAGGGGAUUUAGAUGAGAAGUAGGGGGGUUUUUGUCCAUACUGAUAACUGUUCGUGGUCCCAAGAGGAUCCAUUUUUCUGUGACUACAUUGAUGAUAUUUAUGUUUUGGUUGAA
Long non-coding RNA from Syzygium oleosum, 826 nucleotides. RefSeq lists it as uncharacterized. The transcript has 3 exons. The record is from RefSeq and is a predicted model, not a curated record. Lineage: Eukaryota; Viridiplantae; Streptophyta; Magnoliopsida; Myrtales; Myrtaceae.